AUGUCAGUAAGCGGAGGAAAAGAGACUAACAAGGAUUCCCCUAGUAACGGCGAGUGAAGCGGGAAAAGCUCAAGCAAGAAAUCGCCUGGGUCCCCCAGGCGAAUUGUGGUUUAGAGAGGCGCUUUCUGAGGUCGCGUGGGUGUAAGUCCUCUGGAACGAGGCAUCAGGGAGGGUGAGAAUCCCGUACUCAACCCAACGUGCACUUCUCUACGAUGCGUCUUGUAGAGUCGGAUAGCUUGGGAAUGCUGUCCAAAAUGGGUGGUAAAUACCAUCUAAAGCUAAAUAUUGGCGAGAGACCGAUAGCGCACAAGUA
Molecule: ribosomal RNA, 313 nt
Filed under: uncultured Chytridiomycota
Lineage: Eukaryota; Fungi; Chytridiomycota
Description: partial large subunit ribosomal RNA
Rfam family: Eukaryotic large subunit ribosomal RNA
Source: RNAcentral